This 141-nucleotide ribosomal RNA is filed under the name Phaeophyscia hispidula. Its description in RNAcentral is "5.8S ribosomal RNA". It matches the Rfam family "5.8S ribosomal RNA". Rfam says of the family: 5.8S ribosomal RNA (5.8S rRNA) is a component of the large subunit of the eukaryotic ribosome. It is transcribed by RNA polymerase I as part of the 45S precursor that also contains 18S and 28S rRNA. Functionally, it is thought that 5.8S rRNA may be involved in ribosome translocation. The record is from RNAcentral. Lineage: Eukaryota; Fungi; Ascomycota; Lecanoromycetes; Caliciales; Physciaceae.
AUCUCUUGGUUCCCGCAUCGAUGAAGAACGCAGCGAAAUGCGAAAAUUAAUGUGAAUUGCAGAAUUCCGUGAAUCAUCGAGUCUUUGAACGCACAUUGCGCCCUUUGGUAUUCCGAAGGGCAUGCCUGUUCGAGCGUCAUU